AUUGCUUCCUGGCCUUUUAGCUAGGAUCAAGUAUAGUUCUGUUUUCAUAAGUCUAAUGUCGCAUGUAGCCUCUGUUUGAAGUAUAUAAAUGGAGUUUUGGAGCAGAGAGAUAAAAUGGAGGCCUGCUCCCUCAACCCCCAUACCUCACUUAUUGCGAUACCUUCAGGAAUGGUGCACCCCUU
Grammomys surdaster is the source of this 182-nucleotide small nuclear RNA. RefSeq annotates it as U2 spliceosomal RNA. NCBI's taxonomy places the organism in Eukaryota, Metazoa, Chordata, Mammalia, Rodentia, Muridae. The record is from RefSeq and is a predicted model, not a curated record. The transcript has a single exon.